Molecule: long non-coding RNA, 1004 nt
Organism: Bacillus rossius redtenbacheri
Lineage: Eukaryota; Metazoa; Arthropoda; Insecta; Phasmatodea; Bacillidae
Exons: 2
Source: RefSeq, a predicted model, not a curated record
GAAUUUUAUUUGUUUUGGAUUCUCGGGGCGACGGGGCGUGGAUGUAUCCAAUCUCCCCCAUGUGUGCGCCUUUGCGUUUGGCUUAACUUUUGCUAGCUCAUGAUUAGAUUAACCCGUAAUCGACACAUAUGGGUCCUGGGGACCCGUGGAAAUUUUAAUUUCGCUCUACGUCAGUGAGGGUUUGUAGCACUGGCCCAGCCAUCCAGCCUCAAUGCGGCCUUGGCUUUUCGCAAACCCGUCGGUUGACACCUCGAAGCUCAUCGUCCUAGUGCCAGCUUGCGAUCUCCCAGGGAACCAGCAUCCGACGGGGGUCCCCGCAGCCUCCGGGAAGGGGAUCCCUACGUGUACCGGCUCCAACCUCUGGAGCCGACCACAACCCCGUGUGGUUUCUCCAGAGACCCGGGUCGGCGUUGCUUGUCGUAGGAGCUAGCCGGCCCGAGGAAAGAGACUGUCAGAUGUGGGAGAUCCACACCACUCCGCACCUCCAGAUGCCACCGACUGCAGCUCGUACACUUUGUCCAGGGUGUCCACACAAAUAUUUAAUAAAAUUUCCCAGACCAAAUUUUAUAUUUUUUUAUAAACAAUUUACAAUUUUUUUGCAAUUUUCUGAAUGAAAAAAAAAACAUUUACCAUCCCCAUAUCUCUUUACAUUUUUUUUAGUUCAAACAGAAACUAUCUGGGGAAAAAAAACUUUCAGUCUGGGUGAAUUUACUCUCAAAUUACUAUGACUGGGGAAUUUCAAUGACUUUUCCAGGAUUUCAAGUAAAUUCCGAGAUGUGGCCACCCUGUUUUUAAUUUUUGGUUACAGUAUUUCAGUUUGUAAGUUACACUUCCGUCCUUUGAAUAUGCUGUUUGUUGUAAAGUGCUAAAGUCCUGAAUGCUGUAUAUAAUUAAAAAAUACUGCUUUGUGCAAAGAUAAGUCAUUUUGGUCUGUUAAACACGUGAGUCAAAUGGUUUUCAUUUAAAUAUAAAAACUCAAAAUAUUCAAUAAAAAAAAGUACAUA